UCUUUUAUUGUGCACGAGCGUACCCGUCGGGUUUAUGGGAGCCCGGCGGAGUUAGUUAGAUUGCUUGUCUUUGUUGCCUGUACGCUCGUGUACAUACCCCCAUUUACUACUCUUUGCACUUGAUGUGACCCUUUAUUUGCAUUUCAGUUUACUUUUGCUUAUCUUGCUCAGUCGGCCGAUGAUGCCUACUGGGUACCUGUUGUUUUGGUACUCAUACUACACUC
This 224-nucleotide long non-coding RNA is filed under the name Solanum tuberosum (potato). RNAcentral's name for it is "long non-coding RNA (STUB_LNC000401)". The record is from RNAcentral. Lineage: Eukaryota; Viridiplantae; Streptophyta; Magnoliopsida; Solanales; Solanaceae.